GAUGAACGCUAGCGGCAGGCUUAACACAUGCAAGUCGUGGGGCAGCAUAAGGGUAGCAAUACUCUGGUGGCGACCGGCAAACGGGUGCGGAACACGUACGCAACCUUCCUCAAAGCGGGGGAUAGCCUCUCGAAAGAGAGAUUAAUACCCCAUAGUAUCUUGAAACUGCAUGGUUUUAAGAUUAAAAGCUCCGGCACUUUGAGAUGGGCGUGCGGCUGAUUAGGUAGUUGGUAGGGUAACGGCCUACCAAGCCAACGAUCAGUAGCUGAUGUGAGAGCAUGAUCAGCCACACGGGCACUGAGACACGGGCCCGACUCCUACGGGAGGCAGCAGUGAGGAAUAUUGGUCAAUGGAGGCAAUCUGAACCAGCCAUGCCGCGUGAAGGAUGAAGGUCCUCUGGAUUGUAAACUUCUUUAUUGGGGAAGAAACCGCGUUUCUAAUGCGGUUGACGGUACC
This 456-nucleotide ribosomal RNA is filed under the name uncultured bacterium. RNAcentral's name for it is "bacterial SSU rRNA". It matches the Rfam family "Bacterial small subunit ribosomal RNA", at positions 28 to 479 of the family's 1533-position model. The record is from RNAcentral.